CAGCAGAAAAGGAAACAUCAUAAGGGAAUGGACCUGGCCUUCAAAAGGAAAACUUGAUAAUCCAGUGGAAAUUUGGGAUUAAUUCAAACACUUCUGAGCUGCCAGUCUGAAACUGUGUCCGGAAUUGGUGGAUUCUUGGUCUCACUGACUUCAAGAAUGAAGCCGCGGACCCUCGCAGUGAGUGUUACAGCUCUUAAGGUGGUGCGUCUGGAGUCUGUCCCUUCUGAUGUUCAGAUGUGUUCGGAGUUUUUUCCUUCUGGUGGGUUCGUGGUCUCGCUGGCUCAGGAGUGAAGCUGUAGACCUUCGCGGUGAGUGUUACAGCUCUUAAGGCAGCGCGUCUGGAUUUGUUUGUUCCUCCG
RNAcentral lists this long non-coding RNA (359 nucleotides) under Homo sapiens (human). Its description in RNAcentral is "non-protein coding lnc-USP44-7:1". Lineage: Eukaryota; Metazoa; Chordata; Mammalia; Primates; Hominidae. The record is from RNAcentral.